GAUGAACGCUGGCGGCGUGCCUAAUACAUGCAAGUCGAGCGAACAGAUGAGGAGCUUGCUCCUCUGACGUUAGCGGCGGACGGGUGAGUAACACGUGGAUAACCUACCUAUAAGACUGGGAUAACUUCGGGAAACCGGAGCUAAUACCGGAUAAUAUAUUGAACCGCAUGGUUCAAUAGUGAAAGACGGUUUUGCUGUCACUUAUAGCUGGAUCCGCGCCGCAUUAGCUAGUUGGUAAGGUAACGGCUUACCAAGGCGACGAUGCGUAGCCGACCUGAGAGGGUGAUCGGCCACACUGGAACUGAGACACGGUCCAGACUCCUACGGGAGGCAGCAGUAGGGAAUCUUCCGCAAUGGGCGAAAGCUUGACGGAGCAACGCCGCGUGAGUGAUGAAGGUCUUCGGAUCGUAAAACUCUGUUAUUAGGGAAGAACAAAUGUGUAAGUAACUAUGCACGUCUUGACGGUACCUAAUCAGAAAGCCACGGCUAACUACGUG
Molecule: ribosomal RNA, 497 nt
Filed under: uncultured bacterium
Lineage: Bacteria
Description: partial 16S ribosomal RNA
Rfam family: Bacterial small subunit ribosomal RNA
Source: RNAcentral